RNAcentral lists this long non-coding RNA (1734 nucleotides) under Heterocephalus glaber (naked mole-rat). Its description in RNAcentral is "lncRNA (ENSHGLG00100049413.1)". The record is from RNAcentral. Lineage: Eukaryota; Metazoa; Chordata; Mammalia; Rodentia; Bathyergidae.
AGGCCUGGAAGAGUUCUCCUCUCACCUCCCCCCCAGCCCACCUCUGUCUCUUUGGAAUGGCCGCCCCGGGAAAGUGAUCACAGCUCUUGGGACAGGAAGUGGUUCCCUCCCACACAGGAAACUGUGGACUGCAGCUGGUCCAGUGCCUGGUGGGGAAUUUAGUGCUGGCAUCGGCAGUGUGUGGGGUGCUGAGAGCAGAGUGAGCCCAAAGACCCCAUAGGCAAACCAGCUCUUACUGGCUUCCUGGCCCGUGGUCAGACCACUACAUUGCUGGCUCCUUAUUUCUGUCAGUUCCAAAGACGGCGGGAAAGGACGCAAGGGUGUGACCAUCUUCCCAGACCCCACGGUGUCAGGAGAAUGCUAAACUAUAAGGAAGAAUGAGAAAAAGACAUGGAAACUGAGUCAGAUAUUGAAGCAAAUUAAAAGAAGUCACUCCACAGAGCUCUACUGUAAAAUAGAUCGGAGAUAAAGACUCAACCUGGUUUUCCAAGAUGAUGACAGUGGAUUAGAGACACACAUAAUCAGGAGGAGGCCACCCCAGCUGACUAACUUGCAGAUUUGAAGAUAUAAUGGCACCGCCUCCAGUCUCUGAUGACUUAAAUGAAUCUCACCUUCUGAUGACUGAAGGAAAAUGUGUUCCUGAGUGCGAAGAAUGGUCCAAUUUUCAUUACCUCCCAGAGGCAGAGCCUGCGAAGACGCUGAGCUGGGCUGCACAAUUCACCGACAGAGCAGAGCUUUCAGGGGCUCCACGGCACCCGUCCUCACCUAGGAAAAGCCCUGCACUCAGCCCAUGCUCGGAGUCACGCUCCGCCGUGUCCCGGUCCGGUAACGCAGGGCAGCCUGGAUCUCUUGCUUUCUUAUGACCCCAUCCCCAAAUACACCCUCUCAGCUCUAUUGGAACAAACCCAAAGUGCGGUAUCAUCAGUUCUAAACCGAAGGCCUGUUUCCUGACUUUCUAUGGAGAACUGUGUGACUUUGUAAUUAGGAAAAAGGCACAAUUUUUGCUUUUAACUGACAAGUGGUAAUUGUGUAUAUUUGUGAGGUACAGUGUGAUGGCUGCACGUACACACGCAUUACAGAAGGAUCCAGUCAAGACAGUUAUCAUAGCCAGACCUUGCAUUCACACCUUCCUGUGGUCUGUGGUGAAGAAUCUAUUUUGGCAGUGUGGGAAUGGACGAGGCACUGUUAGCUGUGGUCACCACAAAGAGCAGAGCGCUGGACUCACUGCCCAGCCUGCCUCGGACCCUGCCCGAGUGACCACACCUGCUGUCCCCACCUCUCCCUCCUGGGGCCUGUGUGCAGCACCUUUCUGUUCUCCCUUUCCAUGAGGCCCACAUAUAAGAGAGACUAUGUACUACAGUGGAGCCUCGAGUUAUGACUGACCCGACAUACGAACAACCUGGGUCAUGACUGGAAUCUUAGUUUUAACUUAUGACCAGAGUCAUGAGUUAUGACCCAGAUGGUCUCAGAUACAGAUUUAACCCCUAAAGAGUCCUGGAAGGAACAUGACAACAUCCUUACCUGUGUGGGGUUGAGAAAUCCUGGCCCAGUGUCUCUCUAAGGACACUGGGAUCUGCCAGGAGACAGACUCUGAAGGCUGUGUAGAGGAGCCUGAGGCUUCACCGAUGAACUUGAGUCACAACCAGUCCUCGGGAACAAAUUGAGUUUGUAAGUCAAGGGUCCACAGUAUUUGUCUUUCUGCUCCUGGCUGACUUCACUUAGUGUAACGCCCAA